AGUGAUGAUAUGAUGCUAAAGUGA
RNAcentral lists this non-coding RNA (24 nucleotides) under Arabidopsis thaliana (thale cress). Lineage: Eukaryota; Viridiplantae; Streptophyta; Magnoliopsida; Brassicales; Brassicaceae. The record is from RNAcentral.